This 31-nucleotide non-coding RNA is filed under the name Mus musculus (house mouse). Lineage: Eukaryota; Metazoa; Chordata; Mammalia; Rodentia; Muridae. The record is from RNAcentral.
UACACUUACCAGAAUAAAGGGAAGAAGAUGG